Podarcis lilfordi (Lilford's wall lizard) is the source of this 70-nucleotide non-coding RNA. NCBI's taxonomy places the organism in Eukaryota, Metazoa, Chordata, Lepidosauria, Squamata, Lacertidae. The record is from the annotation of a GenBank genome assembly.
GUACAUAGCGCAGUGGCAGAGCACAUGCUUUGCAUGCAAAACAUCCCAGGUUCAACCCCUGGCAUCAUCA